RNAcentral lists this ribosomal RNA (1392 nucleotides) under Lactiplantibacillus plantarum. Its description in RNAcentral is "bacterial SSU rRNA". It matches the Rfam family "Bacterial small subunit ribosomal RNA", at positions 68 to 1435 of the family's 1533-position model. Lineage: Bacteria; Bacillati; Bacillota; Bacilli; Lactobacillales; Lactobacillaceae. The record is from RNAcentral.
UAUUGAUUGGUGCUUGCAUCAUGAUUUACAUUUGAGUGAGUGGCGAACUGGUGAGUAACACGUGGGAAACCUGCCCAGAAGCGGGGGAUAACACCUGGAAACAGAUGCUAAUACCGCAUAACAACUUGGACCGCAUGGUCCGAGCUUGAAAGAUGGCUUCGGCUAUCACUUUUGGAUGGUCCCGCGGCGUAUUAGCUAGAUGGUGGGGUAACGGCUCACCAUGGCAAUGAUACGUAGCCGACCUGAGAGGGUAAUCGGCCACAUUGGGACUGAGACACGGCCCAAACUCCUACGGGAGGCAGCAGUAGGGAAUCUUCCACAAUGGACGAAAGUCUGAUGGAGCAACGCCGCGUGAGUGAAGAAGGGUUUCGGCUCGUAAAACUCUGUUGUUAAAGAAGAACAUAUCUGAGAGUAACUGUUCAGGUAUUGACGGUAUUUAACCAGAAAGCCACGGCUAACUACGUGCCAGCAGCCGCGGUAAUACGUAGGUGGCAAGCGUUGUCCGGAUUUAUUGGGCGUAAAGCGAGCGCAGGCGGUUUUUUAAGUCUGAUGUGAAAGCCUUCGGCUCAACCGAAGAAGUGCAUCGGAAACUGGGAAACUUGAGUGCAGAAGAGGACAGUGGAACUCCAUGUGUAGCGGUGAAAUGCGUAGAUAUAUGGAAGAACACCAGUGGCGAAGGCGGCUGUCUGGUCUGUAACUGACGCUGAGGCUCGAAAGUAUGGGUAGCAAACAGGAUUAGAUACCCUGGUAGUCCAUACCGUAAACGAUGAAUGCUAAGUGUUGGAGGGUUUCCGCCCUUCAGUGCUGCAGCUAACGCAUUAAGCAUUCCGCCUGGGGAGUACGGCCGCAAGGCUGAAACUCAAAGGAAUUGACGGGGGCCCGCACAAGCGGUGGAGCAUGUGGUUUAAUUCGAAGCUACGCGAAGAACCUUACCAGGUCUUGACAUACUAUGCAAAUCUAAGAGAUUAGACGUUCCCUUCGGGGACAUGGAUACAGGUGGUGCAUGGUUGUCGUCAGCUCGUGUCGUGAGAUGUUGGGUUAAGUCCCGCAACGAGCGCAACCCUUAUUAUCAGUUGCCAGCAUUAAGUUGGGCACUCUGGUGAGACUGCCGGUGACAAACCGGAGGAAGGUGGGGAUGACGUCAAAUCAUCAUGCCCCUUAUGACCUGGGCUACACACGUGCUACAAUGGAUGGUACAACGAGUUGCGAACUCGCGAGAGUAAGCUAAUCUCUUAAAGCCAUUCUCAGUUCGGAUUGUAGGCUGCAACUCGCCUACAUGAAGUCGGAAUCGCUAGUAAUCGCGGAUCAGCAUGCCGCGGUGAAUACGUUCCCGGGCCUUGUACACACCGCCCGUCACACCAUGAGAGUUUGUAACACCCAAAGUCGGUGGGG